This 2432-nucleotide long non-coding RNA is filed under the name Anthonomus grandis grandis. Its description in RNAcentral is "uncharacterized LOC126749606". Lineage: Eukaryota; Metazoa; Arthropoda; Insecta; Coleoptera; Curculionidae. The record is from RNAcentral.
GAGAAAAAUACAUUUACUUCCUGUAAAACUAAAUAUUCAAGCGUUGUUUUAUGCAUAAAUUAUGGUGGUAUCUCCAAUAACUUUUGCGCGAAAAGAAUUUAGAAGGAAGAAGUGCUUUUUUUGGACCAAACACGACUUGGCUGUAACGCAGCGACCCAGGAGAUUGAGGUUAUGGGCGCCCAAAGCACCAAAGCAAAAUUACUUGGGCAUCUAAGAAAGUGGAUGAACUAACUGUCAAAGAAAGACUCCUGCAGAAGAAUGCUGACCUUUGCAUGGGAAAUUUUCUAAAUGCCAAAAAAGCGGCAACACUAUAAGUGCGCUUUUAAACUUUCGAGUCCUAAAUCUCAAAAUAAAUGAUGUUUCGGCAGCUGUUGUUGACAUCAUUGGUUGAUCUUAGUAGUGUCACAUUUUGUAUUGGUAACACAGUUCUUUUUUCAGGAGUAGGAGACCACACAGCAUUUAGAGGCAAGUUGUUAUUCUUGCGCCAUUCAUUCACUGAGUUAAUAGCUACUUGGAGUUUAAUGCAGUCCUCAAUAGUAUCAAUUCUACAGUAUAAUUUGUUAUCAUCACAGUAUAAUAAUUUGUUAACUUCUAAGUUCCUAGAAAUGGUGUAUUAAUAAAUGAGUUGAAAAGUAGAGGUCCCAAUAUGGAGCCUUGUGGUAGACUUAAAGGAGCGAUUAUUUCAGUUGAGCUGUGUUCAAAGCAUUCAACAUGUUGAGGACGUUUAGUGAGAUAAGAAGAGAUAAGAGAAAUUAAACGAGAUGAAAACCCAAAUUGGUCAGAAAGAUUUGAUAUAAGAAUGGAAUGGUCAAGACGGUCGAAAGCUUUCGAGAAAUCUGUAUAGACUACGUCAACUUGAGAAUUAUCGUUUAUAGAUUCUGAUAAUUUUAAAUUCCGUGAUCGUGUAACUGGCCGAUUUUUUCCAGAGCAGAGGAAAUUUUCUAGUUCCGAGGGCCAAGAUUAAACAAUAUUGUUAGCGGUUUACAAGAAGCAGACGCACAGUCAAAUAUAAGAAAUGCAGGUGUUUUAUCUUUGGGCUUAAUAGUAGAGCCGCAUAGGGCGAAAAAAAGUGGUUCGCGUGCCAAACGGUGAUGAAAGCAAACAAUAUAUAGAGGUUAGUAAGUAUUAACUUACUGAUUACAAACGUCUCUCAUCCCCCAACCCCUAAAAUGUAUUUUUAUUUUAAUUGUUAAUACCUCGGAUAUCAAUAGAGAUAGAAUUAAAAAAAAUUCUCUGUUAUUUUCACAAGUGCGAGGGGCAUAACAAAUGUUAUAUUGACUAAAUCAAUAUCUCGAGAACUAAAUGAGAUAUAUAAAAAUAUCUAAAUCAAAACUGAUGCACGUACUUGAAGAAAUUAUUCCAGAAAGUCAACGUGGUAGUUUUGUAUUCAACAUCAACAUUUAUAAUAUUGUUAUAAUGAUCGCAUGGCAGAACUUCAUCUUUUACAAAAACCUAAAAGCAUGAGGACCUGUUUAAAUUUAGCCAACCAUUUUAUAUCUGUCCUUUGGAAUAAAUAUGGAAAAUAUGACGAAAUACAUUUAGUUUUUGACAGAUACGAUGAUUCUUCUCUCAAACAAAAUACUAGAAAUAAAAGGUAUGAACAGAGCACCAAACAGUUAACUAUUGGAAAGCCUCUUAAUAUAUCAAAUGUUCAAAUCAGAGAUUUGUUGUCAAGCAAUAGAACAAAAAACGAAUUAUCAGAGUAUUUGUCAAAAAAAUGCCUGGACUCAGAUUCGUUCAAGAACAAAAAACGUUUUGCAUCUUGGAACAGAAGCUGCAUGACCAAUAGCAAAAAUAUUGAAGAUCUUGCAUCCAACCAGGAAGAAGCUGAUACCAAAAUCAUUUUACAUGCUACAUAUGCUGCCAAUCAUGCUGAAAAAAAAAAGAAGAAAUAUGUAUUACUGUGUGCUCUCCGGACACCGAAGUAUUUAUUUUUCUCUUGAAGUACAACGAAAUCUUUAGUUGCGAACUGUAGCUUCAGACUGGAUUAGGAGCAAAAAAGAGAAAUGUUGAUAUAAACAAGAUAGGCCAACAGCUCACGUACCUACAGAAAGAGGCUUUACCGAGUUUCAUGCGCUAUCAGGCUGCGAUGUCACAGGAGGGUUUGCAAAAAAAGGCAAACUGAAGUUUUUUAAAGCGUUUCAAGCGGUAGAUGAUCAAAUAUUAGCUUCUUUAAUCGAUCUUGGCAAUACUAAAAUAGAAGUGGAGAAAAUAUCAAAUCAGCUAGAAAAAUUUAUUUGCAUGGUGUACACUGUGUCCCAUUUUGGAUGAGACUGCAGGGUAUCUCUGUCAUUUUUUAAGAUAGAGCUUUGCGGUUUUCGCGACCCUGUAUCACUUUUUUGUAAAACUUUUAAAGCCACAAACAGAAAUAUUCUAACUACUUUUGUUCCUGAAAUACAGGGCGAAAACGAAAAUGUUCACUUUUGGAGAUG